Long non-coding RNA from Rosa chinensis, 4119 nucleotides. RefSeq lists it as uncharacterized. The transcript is spliced from 2 exons. The record is from RefSeq and is a predicted model, not a curated record. NCBI's taxonomy places the organism in Eukaryota, Viridiplantae, Streptophyta, Magnoliopsida, Rosales, Rosaceae.
AACCCAUUUUCAAUACUAUCUAGAUUUUCCCAUUCACAACAACAAGAUCUAAAAGCUAUUACUACUAUUUGUUACCAAUUCACAACAACUUUAUCUAAAAGCUAUUACUACUAUUUGUUACCAAUUCUGCUUUUACAAAAAGCACAGCCAAUAGUUAUGCAUCCGCAGAAUUGGUAACUAUAUAUUGCGAAUCAGGUUUUGAGGCUAAUUUGAAUGAGUUGUUGAUAGGUAUAAAUUUGGCUCAAUCACAACUGGUGCUUCUAUAUGGUGUGGGGUGUUGCAGCUAUUAGCCGAGGAUUAAAGCAGAAAGUGGAAUUGAAUGUCAGCAUAAUUUCAAUGAAUGUUGACAGUCCUUAAUAGUAUGGUUUGAAGGCUAUUCACGAACUCUGUUUUCUUUUUCCAUCAUGCAUGAUUUCUGAUGUGUAAAAUAAAUAAAUAAAUGAACUUUCUUUUGCAUUUAUAAAGAUCAACUUCUUUUCUGUUGGGUCCAUGCUUCAAGCUUCUAAGAAAGAAAGCUAUAGUAAAUGGAAAAUGAAGGGGGAAAUUUUAUGAUUAACUUGCCAGCUUUUAGUGCUUUGUUUUUGGUUUGAAUUUCUGUCUAAUGAAGAAAGGAAAAAGGUACUUUGCCUGGUCUUGUUUCCCUUUGUGGCCAUCUAAGGACUUGGUGGCUUUAGCUCACAUCUUGAUUCAUCUCCAGCAGCCUCCUUCACACUUUAAGUGGAUAUAUGUAACUCUAUAUGCUCUUAAUUUUUCUUUCGUUGUGAUCCUCUUUCUCAUCUAAUUAUACAAAUCUUUUGGAUACAUGUUUUUGUCUGUGCAUGCAAGGAUAAGAAAGAGUUUGAAAGUUUGAUUGGAAUAGCAUUUGAACAGUUUUAUUGGCUAUGACAUUUAACAGUUUUCAUUCUGUAAAAUUUGUCUACAAUCUCUUAACACCUGUUACAAUUGUUGGUACUUUUGCAGACCCAAAAAUUGGAAUCAGAAAGCAUUGAUAGCCUCCCUCACACUACUGGAAUUGAAUUAGAUAUUCUUCAGUUUGUUUAUUAAUUAGACAUGCUUUAGAUAUGAGAAACAUGUGAUACUAGAUUUCCUUUGGAUGGUUUUUUCUUCUUCUUUUUUUGGGUCAAAUUUGCAUGGUGUUAGUCAGGAAUUCGGUUUUGGUGAUACUAACAUGAUGCUCCUCUUAAGGUCCUGCAAGAUUUAACUUUAAAACACAUAAAUCUCAAGAAUCAGAAUUAUGAAACUCAUGUUAUUUUGGAUAGAGGAUUGGCGGUCUGAAUAUGCAGUGUUUCUAUAUUGUCUUUGUACCAUUUCCUAAAUCGCCUUGGUUUUUGUGUGCUGCAUUAUUUUAAAUCUCAAUUUAUCUAUCUGUGAACUGUUGAACAAUUGUUGCUGCUGCUUGCAGUUUGUUCCUCUUGGAUUUGUUUUACUGGACAUAAUCAUGUUGCCAAUGUGGCAUUAUAAAAUAAAUACUCCAUAAUUCGGGUAUGAAGUGAUGUAAAUUUUUUUGGAAAUGUAAAGGUUAUAGUUUGCUCAGUGGUUUACUAGAUUUUCAGGAUUCUGUAGUUCAUAUUGAUUUACUUCAACAGUUGUGAUUUGUGAUGAGAAUCAGUUAUCUUAAAAAUUGACGUGAUCGGUGUCACCAAUCAGUGUCAUAUUCUUUCUACAACACAACACAGAGUUUGGUAAUGUUUCAAGUUGGUGGCAUUAGUUAAUAUACAAUGCAUUGCGUUUCCGGCCAGUUUGCCCAUAUAUCUAGAGGAAUAAGGCUUUGAAGAUCAAAUAGUUGAAAAGUUUAUCCUUUCAAUUUUGAGUUGCAUCAAUAUAAGUAUCUUAAUCAUAAUCUAUUCCCAGAACAGUCAAUUGUCUAAUUUCCUUAAAUUAGGAAUUCCAUUAGAGAUUUAAUCUUUGGAAGUCAUAGUUUUAUUUUAUAAUAUAACAAACUUUUCCUUCUGUUAAUAAAUUAAUGUUCCUGCAAAAGCCACUACUUGGCUGGAUUGAACUGCUGAUUUGAUGAUAGACUGGCUGGUCAGAAAAACCAUUAAACUGACCAACAUUUGCAGCAUAGGCAGUAUUGAGGUCAUUGAGAGGCAAAUUCAUUGACAUACCAGGUGCAGAAAUACAACUUGAGCUUGUAGGCAUGUAAUUCGAUGAUGGCAAACACUUCAUUUGUGCAUGAGAUGAACUUGAGUGAAAAGAUGAAGCCUCAAUGUCAUUAUUGAAGCUAUUAUGAGCAACCAUAGUUUUUGGAUCAUUCUGAGAUUUGUUGUUUGAUUGCUGUCUAUAUCUACAGGUGUUAGCACUGUGAUCGACUCUCUUGCAGAUUUGACACUGAAAAAUAGAGGUGGAAGCCGCAAUACCAUUCCUGUAAUACCAUUUGGAAGCACUCUGCCCUGGUUUUUCACAAAUUUGGCAGAUGAUAGGACCCUGAUUUGUAUUGGGAAAUUUUGGCCUGGUAUUGUUGUUCCUGUAAGUGUUGUUGGAGUUUCUGUUGUUGUGAAACUGAGGAUAGCUGCCUUGUCUGUAAUUCGCUGAGUAAGUCCUAUACUUUCCUUUAUUUGGACUGGAAAGUCUAGUCAAGCCUCCAAAUUUUGGGUCUGCAUAUUGCUGUUUUGAGAAAAACUUCCAAUUUGUUGUGCUGCAUAACCAUCAUAGUAAUUAUGAGAGUUGUUCUGCAUCUGCUUUGAACCAUUAUAUACUAUUUGUAUCCCAUUUGUAUUGCCACCAUUUAAUGCAACAAAACCGGAUGGUGACUGAAUAAUCCCAAUAUAUGGAGAUGAAAAAUAACCCUUAGAUGAUGUAAUGUUAGCUACUGAGUUGGCAUUUCCCAUCAUGAUGGUUGGCUUCCAUUUGUGGUCAUCAUAGAAGGCACGUAUCCAACUUAGCUAAUGCUACUCACUGAUAUUUGAUUCAUUCCAGAAAAUGAUGUGCGCAUGAAACCAUUUUGUGAAGUAAAGACCCCUGUGGUGCUUGAGCAUUAAUUAUCAUAAAUGCAAACUGAGGUAUACCGAGACUUGGAUUUGCAGCACCAUUGAGCACAGUAAGGUUACUAUGCACAGGAGAUGGUGACACAGUGCCAGAACAAUUGUAUAAUGUAGGAGCAGUAAUAUGAUUAGUCCAUUGCAUUCCCUGAGAUGGGUUCCCAAUGUUCAAGCCAUUUUGUGCUAACAAAGCUGUGAGUUGUGUCAGUGGUGAAACAUUGCCAUGUGGGAAACAAUUAGAUGAAAGAUUUCCAGCACCACAGUGAGCAAUCAUAGCAGUUGACUGAGACAACGGAGAAGUUUUAUGUUCAAGUUCUAUUUCACACUCUGCAGAUAAUAGCAAGAAUCUAACUGUUCCUAAAUAAACAUUUUUUUGCCUCUUAUAAUCUGCCUUGUAUUACCAUACUGAGUAGGGAGUCCAGCAAGAAUCAAAGCCCUCUUCUUGAUCAGAUAUUUGUACACCAAGCACAGUUGACUGAUCCCUAACACUCUUGAAUUUCAGCAGUUAGUUGACAUUUUUUCUUUUCUUUUUUGUUUAUACUGCUGUAGACUUGGUGUAGUUAGUUCAUCCUUGGUUCAGAUAUAUUGACAUACUUGGAUUAAUCUUGCUUGUGUUGCUGCUGCCGUAUUGCGGAUGGCUUUUUAAAUGGUCCCUGGUUCUCAGUCCUCAUAUUUUCUAGUCUUUGUUGGUCUUUAUUAGCAACUUUCUUCCUAUUGUAUUUGACAUCAUUGAGUUGCUGACUGCAAUUUUUCCUUCUUUGCAGUUGCCAGACUUAUGAAGGUGGUAUAUCUGGGGAACCUGGUUCUGAAGCUCAUGGUGGGAUUAAAUGUGAUCCCUUUCUAGUGAAUUGCAAUUGGAUAUGAAUUUUAUCAACAGAAGCGUAGAAAUGAAGCCACUUUUCCAUGCCAUUGCAUUGAAGCGGUACCAAAUGGUUUUGCAAAUGGAAGUCUCAUUUUGCCCGAUUAAUUUGUUCAUGAGUUUUAUGGUUUUCUGCUGCAAUAUUAACUUUGUAUUGGGAGAGAAUCCAGUUUUUUGAAAACUGUUGUUUCGGGCAUUAGCCAUGAUUAGAUGGCUUGGAUUAGGACUCUGUUAAGCAUAAUAUAUAGUAAAACUUCGGUGGAACAACUUCAACCCUAAAAA